AGGGCUUCUACUGAAUUUUCAUUGACCGAUAGAUACAAACCAAUCGCAGGCAAGACUUAGGGCAUCGAGUUCCCGCUCCUCCCCCUCCCCCCCUCCUCUUCCGAGCCUCCGAAUAGAGCUUGCUGCUUGCGGGGUUCCAGCUGAAUUGCGCAUGCUACCUUGCAUAGGGCCGUACACUACUGGGUGUCUUUGCUGGAAGUCUGCAGAAGAUGCAUUCUAUGACAUGCUAGAGAAGUGUCAGAUCGGUGCUGUUGUUGAAGAAUAGCUAUCUCAGUUGUGCUGUGUGUGUGAAGAAUGCAUCUUAAACAGUCUAGGAACAUGAUUUGAGUUAGCUUGCUGUAACUAGUUCAUGCUAAUAUAUGCUCAGGUACUGAAGAGCUGACAGCUCCAUUCAUGCUUUUCAGAAGAUCACCUUUUGUAGGAGUGUUACUUUAUAUUUUGGAAUCAGGUGCACAUCUUAUUUUGGGAGA
Long non-coding RNA from Phoenix dactylifera (date palm), 470 nucleotides. RefSeq lists it as uncharacterized. The record is from RefSeq and is a predicted model, not a curated record. Lineage: Eukaryota; Viridiplantae; Streptophyta; Magnoliopsida; Arecales; Arecaceae.